Molecule: long non-coding RNA, 267 nt
Filed under: Salvia miltiorrhiza (redroot sage)
Lineage: Eukaryota; Viridiplantae; Streptophyta; Magnoliopsida; Lamiales; Lamiaceae
Description: long non-coding RNA (SMIL_LNC003476)
Source: RNAcentral
AUAAUUUAGCAAACUCGAAAUAAAAAAUAAAAAAAUGACCAUAAUUAUGAUAAUAAUAUCAUACGUUGAGAACAUCGAUUAGUUAUUCAAUUAAAUUAUAUUAUAAAUAAAUUUAACGAACUCAAAAUUAAAAAAAAAAUUGCUAUGAUUGUGAAAAUAAAAAGAUAAAAAUAUCGAAAAGAAAAAAUAAAAAGAUCACUAAAGUAUCUAUCACUAAUUGAAUACCCUUGAAAAAUAAAAAUAUCGAAAAUAAUUGCUAUGAUUGUG